Perca fluviatilis (European perch) is the source of this 358-nucleotide long non-coding RNA. RefSeq lists it as uncharacterized. Lineage: Eukaryota; Metazoa; Chordata; Actinopteri; Perciformes; Percidae. The record is from RefSeq and is a predicted model, not a curated record. The transcript has 3 exons.
GGGUGUUGUCCUAACCAGGUAUCGCUGUGCCAGAGGGUCCACAUCUCUGGAAUCUUUUCAUUGCCACCUGAAAAGGUUCAUUCCAGGCACCAGUGCAAAUGCACUGAAUUUUCAGCUGUACCUCCUGGAAGGCCUGAACAGGUGGAACCAGGACCGGGGGACUGCGGCGGUGACCAGCAGGCCAUCAUCUCUGCUCACCUACUCCGGGGAUGUGACCCAGUGUGUCAACAGCAGCAGCUUGAAGGUGUUUGGCCGGGCAUUUGUGCCAAACUUCAGGCCACCCUCCAAAUACACCGGAGAGCUGCUUGGUGUUGACUAUCUGUUAAGUCAGACUGGGCAGCCCUUACAGGUCAGCCCU